Non-coding RNA from Myotis lucifugus (little brown bat), 328 nucleotides. The record is from Rfam. NCBI's taxonomy places the organism in Eukaryota, Metazoa, Chordata, Mammalia, Chiroptera, Vespertilionidae.
GCAGGGCGCGGUGGUGCGCGCCUGUAGUCCCAGCUACUCGGGAGGCUGAGGCUGGAGGAUCGCUUGAGCCCACGAGUUCUGGGCUGUAGUGCGCUAUGCCGAUCGGGUGUCCGCACUAAGUUCGGCAUCAAUAUGGUGACCUCCCGGGAAGGGGGGGGGAGGGGGUGGGGGGGUGGGGGGGGGCCACCAGGUUUGCCUAAGGAGGGGUGAACUGACCCCAGGUCGGAGAUGGAGCAGGUCAAAGCUCCCGUGCUGAUCAGUAGUGGGAUCAUGCCUGUGAAUAGCCACUGCACUCCAGCCUGGGCAACAUAGUGAGACCCCGUCUCUU